This 477-nucleotide ribosomal RNA is filed under the name uncultured bacterium. RNAcentral describes it as "bacterial SSU rRNA". It matches the Rfam family "Bacterial small subunit ribosomal RNA", at positions 365 to 832 of the family's 1533-position model. The record is from RNAcentral. RNAcentral also lists the same sequence under 1 other name.
UUCGCAAUGCCCGAAAGGGUGACGAAGCGACGCCGCGUGCGGGAAGAAGGCCUUCGGGUUGUAAACCGCUGUCGGGAGUUAGGAAAUGCAAGGAUGUUAAUAGCGUCUUUGCUUGACUAAGGCUCCGGAGGAAGCCACGGCUAACUCUGUGCCAGCAGCCGCGGUAAUACAGAGGCGGCAAGCGUUGUUCGGAAUUAUUGGGCGUAAAGAGCACGUAGGCGGCCGUGUAAGUCGGUUGUGAAAGCCUUCCGCUCAACGGGAGAACGGCAUCCGAUACUGCAUGGCUCGAGUGCGGGAGGGGAGAGUGGAACUUCUGGUGGAGCGGUGAAAUGCGUAGAUAUCAGAAGGAACACCGGCGGCGAAGGCGACUCUCUGGCCCGUAACUGACGCUGAGUGUGCGAAAGCUAGGGGAGCAAACGGGAUUAGAUACCCCGGUAGUCCUAGCCGUAAACGAUGGGCACUAAGUAGAGGGGUUUU